CCUACGGGAGGCAGCAGUAGGGAAUAUUGCUCAAUGGGGGAAACCCUGAAGCAGCAACGCCGCGUGGAGGAUGAAGGUUUUCGGAUUGGAAACUCCUGUUGUUAGAGAAGAGAAGGACGGUAGCUAACGAAUAAGCACCGGCUAACUCCGUGCCAGCAGCCGCGGUAAUACGGAGGGUGCAAGCGUUACGCGGAAUCACUGGGCGUAAAGAGCGCGUAGGCGGGAUCGCAAGUCAGAUGUGAAAUCCUAUGGCUUAACCAUAGAACUGCAUUUGAAACUGUUAUUCUAGAGUAUGGGAGAGGUCGGUGGAAUUCUUGGUGUAGUGGUCCCAUCCUUAGAGCUCACGAGGAAUACUCAUUGCGACGGCGCCCUGCUAGAUCCUAACUGCCGCUGCUGCGCGACCGCGUGGGUAGCACACCGGAUUAGCUCCCCUUGUAGUC
Molecule: ribosomal RNA, 440 nt
Filed under: uncultured bacterium
Lineage: Bacteria
Description: partial 16S ribosomal RNA
Rfam family: Bacterial small subunit ribosomal RNA
Source: RNAcentral